Molecule: ribosomal RNA, 452 nt
Filed under: uncultured bacterium
Lineage: Bacteria
Description: bacterial SSU rRNA
Rfam family: Bacterial small subunit ribosomal RNA
Source: RNAcentral
UACGGAAGGCAGCAGUGGGGAAUAUUGCACAAUGGGCGCAAGCCUGAUGCAGCCAUGCCGCGUGUAUGAAGAAGGCCUUCGGGUUGUAAAGUACUUUCAGUCGUGAGGAAGGUGUUAAGGUUAAUAACCUUAGCAAUUGACGUUAGCGACAGAAGAAGCACCGGCUAACUCCGUGCCAGCAGCCGCGGUAAUACGGAGGGUGCGAGCGUUAAUCGGAAUUACUGGGCGUAAAGGGCACGCAGGCGGUUAAUUAAGUUGGAUGUGAAAUCCCCGGGCUUAACCUGGGAAUGGCAUUCAAGACUGGUUAGCUAGAGUCUUGUAGAGGGGGUAGAAUUCCAUGUGUAGCGGUGAAAUGCGUAGAGAUGUGGAGGAAUACCGGUGCGAAGGCGGCCCCUGGGACAAGACUGACGCUCAUGUGCGAAAGCGUGGGGAGCGAAACAGGAUUAGAUACC